GUGAUUCCUGUGCCUUACAAAGAUGCAGAUACUCAAGGUAUUUUUGAUGCUUGUGUUGCCACUGUGGCAACCCUCUCAGAUGCUGGCAUUCGUGCUGAAGCUGAUCUUAGAGAUAACUACUCACCUGGUUGGAAGUAUUCAAACUGGGAAAUGAAAGGUGUUCCCCUAAGGAUUGAAAUAGGACCUAGAGACUUAGCAAAUAAUCAGGUGAACCCCCCCUUUUUUUUGGAUGCUGCUUUCCUUCUAUUCUUUUAUUUAUUAAUUUGCUAUUGUACUUAUACAGUUAAAACCAGAAAAGUGCUUUAUUUGACAGGUACGUGCAGUUCGCCGUGACAAUGGAGCAAAAACUGAUAUCUCAAGAGUCUUUUUGGUUGAACAAGUAAAAGGAAUGUUGGAUAAGAUUCAACAGAACCUGUUUGACGUUGCAAAACAAAAACGAGAUGCCUGUGUUGAAGUUUUAAAAACUUGGGAAGAGUUUGUAACAGCUCUUGGGCAAAAGAAACUGAUCUUAGCUCCUUGGUGUGAUGAGGAGGUAUGACUUGAAUUUGCAGAAUCCUUAUUCUUUACAGGGACCAUGACUAUUUAGUAUUUAAUCAGUGUUCCUUUAGUGCUUAUCUGCUACACUUAGUCUUUGCAUUGAAUCAUUAGGCUGAAGUGUUUUGUUGGUUAUAAAAAUGAGUUGGAUCAUAUUUAGAACGUCAUUAAUUUCCAAGAUUACCUCUCCAGGCAUUUGUUGGUUAGAAUGGGUCUUGCUCAGUUUCAUAAAAGACUUUUAAUGUAGGUAUGACUUGAAUUUGCAGAAUCCUUAUUCUUUACAGGGACCAUGACUAUUUAGUAUUUAAUCAGUGUUCCUUUAGUGCUUACCUGCUACACUUAGUCUUUGCAUCGAAUCAUUAGGCUGAAGUGUUUUGUUGGCUAUAAAAAUGAGUUGGAUCAUAUUUAGAACGUCAUUAAUUUCCAAGAUUUCCUCUCCAGGCAUUUGUUGGAUAGAAUGGGUCUUGCUCAGUUUCAUAAAAGACUUUUAAUGUUUUGUAUAAAUGUAGGAUGUGGAGAAAGACGUGAAAGCACGAACGAAGGGUGAUAUGGGAGCAGCUAAGUCUCUUUGUACCCCGUUUGAACAGCCUGAACUCCCAGAAGGUAAAGCAGGCAUUUAUUUUAAACAGUAGGAUACUUUCCCUCCCUCAUAAUACUAGUAGUAUUUUGUUUUUUAAUAAACUGUUACUGCACCAGCAUGCACUAAUCAGCAACUGCCAAGAAUCUUAAUCUGUGACAAACUACAAAAAAUUAUUGGAAAUUUAGAGAAAUCAUACUACAUUAAGAGGAAUAAGAGAUAAUAAAUUAAUAUUAAUCAGUAGUUCAAUUAAUUUGAAGGAUUAAGUAAAAAUCCGGCACCCAGUGAGCUUGGUUCAGGUAAGAUGUGAUUGCAAAUGUGUCAUUGUGAUUGAACCUGAAGCUUAGCUCAGUUGGUUCAUGUAAUCACUCUUAAGAAGUGGUAUCUAAUAAAUCUAGGGUUCCAAUCUCAGCACCUGCAUCCCCCUCUCUUCUCCAGGCUGCAACCACUUUCGUAUCAAAAAAGAAAAGCUUACUUAAUCCUUUUGUAACACAGUCUUUUCUCAUUUAGAAUUUUUUAAAUUUCUCCUUACAUUAGUAUUGAGGGAAUUCAUGUGUAAAUGCUGUUUGAUUAUUUGUAACCUUACAUCCACAAAAAGAAAAGAGGAGAUUAUACGUCUUCUAUAGAAUUCUCUUCUCAUCAAAAAUGAAAUUAUGCAGGUACUAAAUGCUUUGCCUCUGGGAAGCCUGCAAAGAAAUGGACCUAUUGGGGUAGAAGUUACUAAGAUUAUUCUCUUUUUAUGACCAUCUCCUUCACAUUGUCCUCUGUCUGAUGUCAGCUGUGCUGGUGUGUGGACCAUUCUUAACAGGAUAAUUUUCAAUUUGAAAUUGUUAUAUGAAACUGAUGAGAGUACUUGGUUUUAUUAUCAUAUAGUUAAGAGUUCACUUCGAUGCAUGGUGGGAGAACUCCCACCGCGCCGCGCAUGUCAUUUUAUUCAUUGGACCCUUGGAGGUUAAGUCAUAAAAAUGCAAUUACGGCGCGGUGAAAGUCUCUCUCACUAUGUUACCAAAGGGACAUUAAAACUUGUGGGAAUUUUUUUUUUUUAAUUUUCGCCAAGGGUGUAUUGUAGAACUUUUGCUUUGCUACAAUUGAUUUACUGCUCUAUUUGUGAUAUUACAAUAUUAGAAUAUGGUGAUGGUACUUGAAGGUUAUAAGUUUCUUGUUUGGAUUCAUUUGGUGAUGGCUUUGACUUUUAUUUCUCUGUCAUUGUUUCCUGAUACUGUUCAUUAGUGGAUUGUUCUUCAAUUGAAGCAGUUGAAGGAGAAUUUCACGAAUUACAAUGACACGUAAAUGAUAUCAAAAAAUAUUAAAAUAAUAUGAUUUAAAAUUUUAGUAAAAAUAAUAUGUUAAGUUUAAUAAGAAUAAAAAAUAUAUAUUUCGUAUUUUUUUUUGUUAAUAUUAGUUGUAAUACAAAAUUUUUAUAUAAAAUAUGAUAUGAAUUUAUGAAUUAUUAAUGUUUUUAUAACAUAAAUACAUGAAUUAAUUUUUUUACAUGAGUAAAUGUCACUCAUCUGUCAUUUCUUUUUGGUGAUUAAAACAUGCAGAAUGGCAAAAUAGUUAAACUGUAGUAUGGAUGUCCUCAUUUCCAACUGGUCAAAAUUUACCAUUAAGGCUCGUGCCUGGCCUCAAACAUUUAAACGUAAAACUUACUCUCAUUGGUUAUAGCCAAAAAUAACCAAAAAUUUUCAACUUCACAAUGUAAUAAAUUUUGAAUCCAAAAAUUAAUUCAGUUGAUUCAUACAAUCAUCUUUAAAAGAUAGUAUAUAACAUAUUUGAAGUUCAAAUAAUUUGUAAUUCAUUCUUCUAUUCCUAGGUUACAACCUUCUUUAUAUAUAUAUAAAGAAUAAAUUCCUGGCUAAAUUCAUCGGUUCGUUUCUAUUCUGACCACAAAUAACUGGCAGGUCAUUGAACAUGGCGGCAAAAACAUAUCUCAUUGGACUUCAAGCAAUGCUCCUUGAUUCACUUCAUCACCAUCAAGAAGUUCCUGGAUUAUUUGAUUGAUAGCAUUUCCUCGAGCCUAUGUUUUGUAAGACAAAUAUUUCAGCACACAAUCAAAACCACAACAGGAUAAGACAAUCUGCAAAGCGGAAACCCCUAACCUUUACUCCAAUUGCAAUUGCUGUUUUUAGCUUUACAAGCUCACCCAAUCUUAGGGACCCCUUUUUAUCAUCUCUAACAAUCAUCAAUGGUACCUUCCUUGACAAAGCCAACGUUGGCAGGUGCUUUAUUAGCCACUUUGGAUUGCAAUCAGCAGCUAACAAAAUAGCCUACAAGCUCAAAAAACAUAUAGCAAACCUUAAGCAGUGCUUGUGAAAACAUGACAGCUAAGGAUCCACAUGGAUGGAUGGCGAGAUUCAAAACAGCGGUGGUAAUGAGAUUACAUGAAGUUUAAUACGCAAGCAGUAAGAUUAAAAUCAAUGAUGAAAAUAUGUAAUUGAAUAUAAACGCAAAGUGAUAGGAAGAUUGAGUAUAACAAUCGGUUGCCUCACUAAAGCCAAUUGAUUGUCACAAUUGCAAAAUGUCUUCAUUUUCAUUUUUACGCUAAGGCAGUCGACUGCUCUAGGAUCUAGAUGUUCACUGAAUCCUUUCCCCCAGCCAACUGCACCGCCGGGUGCUUUUGGUUAGCAUCAUGCGGUGCACUUGGCCCAAAAAAAGGUUGCGAUGGAAUCAAAACUAGCCCUUAGUAUAACAAACAUAUUGCAAUAAACAACUAAGUAUAGAUUGUUAUAAAAGGCAUGACAGAUCACUCAAAAUUUAAAUCUAGAAACAGGGAAGCCAACCUGAAGCCUAACACAAGGAGAUUGAGCAGAGCUUCCAUUCUCAACAGUGGGUGCCAUCCGUUCAAGUACACGAGUCACAUCAUUAACACCAAUGGCAAAUUGUUGCUAAUAACAAUGCACCAAAUACAAUAUAACAAUCAGAAUAUAAUAAAACCACAAGGAUCAUCAAAGAAAAUCAAUAAAGCAUUGAACAAGAGAUCAAACCUUAAGCCAUACUUUUUCAGGCAAGGAGUUUUCAGCCAAUGCUCUUGCUGACUCUACCCCUCUGUUCAUUGCAAUAACUUCAACUAUUACCUCUGAAAAAGAACAAGAAUUUGAAUACCAAAAAAGGGUAUUCUUUAAUUAUUGAUAAUGUGUUCGAAUCGUUUACCUUUGGAUUGAUUUAAGCACGUGAACAAGACGCUCCCCUUCAUAACAACUGCCAAGAGAAAAAAUAAAGAAAUUAAAUCAAAGACCCAAAAUUUGCAUAAAAUCCAAUGAAACAAAGGCAGACUUACUCUUGCUGCUGAGGAACGGAACCGUCAAGAAUGUUGUUUUUGGCUGCCUUAUUUCUAGCCGUCAUGUUUCAUUUUAGAGUUCGCUACUUGUUUGAUGAAAAGANNNNNNNNNNNNNNNNNNNNNNNNNNNNNNNNNNNNNNNNNNNNNNNNNNNNNNNNNNNNNNNNNNNNNNNNNNNNNNNNNNNNNNNNNNNNNNNNNNNNNNNNNNNNNNNNNNNNNNNNNNNNNNNNNNNNNNNNNNNNNNNNNNNNNNNNNNNNNNNNNNNNNNNNNNNNNNNNNNNNNNNNNNNNNNNNNNNNNNNNNNNNNNNNNNNNNNNNNNNNNNNNNNNNNNNNNNNNNNNNNNNNNNNNNNNNNNNNNNNNNNNNNNNNNNNNNNNNNNNNNNNNNNNNNNNNNNNNNNNNNNNNNNNNNNNNNNNNNNNNNNNNNNNNNNNNNNNNNNNNNNNNNNNNNNNNNNNNNNNNNNNNNNNNNNNNNNNNNNNNNNNNNNNNNNNNNNNNNNNNNNNNNNNNNNNNNNNNNNNNNNNNNNNNNNNNNNNNNNNNNNNNNNNNNNNNNNNNNNNNNNNNNNNNNNNNNNNNNNNNNNNNNNNNNNNNNNNNNNNNNNNNNNNNNNNNNNNNNNNNNNNNNNNNNNNNNNNNNNNNNNNNNNNNNNNNNNNNNNNNNNNNNNNNNNNNNNNNNNNNNNNNNNNNNNNNNNNNNNNNNNNNNNNNNNNNNNNNNNNNNNNNNNNNNNNNNNNNNNNNNNNNNNNNNNNNNNNNNNNNNNNNNNNNNNNNNNNNNNNNNNNNNNNNNNNNNNNNNNNNNNNNNNNNNNNNNNNNNNNNNNNNNNNNNNNNNNNNNNNNNNNNNNNNNNNNNNNNNNNNNNNNNNNNNNNNNNNNNNNNNNNNNNNNNNNNNNNNNNNNNNNNNNNNNNNNNNNNNNNNNNNNNNNNNNNNNNNNNNNNNNNNNNNNNNNNNNNNNNNNNNNNNNNNNNNNNNNNNNNNNNNNNNNNNNNNNNNNNNNNNNNNNNNNNNNNNNNNNNNNNNNNNNNNNNNNNNNNNNNNNNNNNNNNNNNNNNNNNNNNNNNNNNNNNNNNNNNNNNNNNNNNNNNNNNNNNNNNNNNNAUGAUUGAACCCAAAUUACAAGAAAAAAAACUAGUCUGUAAGACCAACUUAACUAAUUCUUAUGAAAGUUGACGCAGUUAAUGUAAUACCUAUAAAUAGAUUUGACGAUUUAUGUAUUCUUGUCGUGUAAAAUAUUUAAAUCUGUGUAUUCAUAUUGUAUUUUAAAGAAAAUUAUUUAUCACAAUUUGUGUUGACACGAAAAUAUGAAAUAUAAAUUUUUUGUUAACUUAUUUAUAGUUAUUGCUAAAAUUUUAAAUCAUAUUAUUUUUUAUAUAUUUUUAUAUUAUGUUCGAGUUGUAUUAUUAUGUCAUAUUUUAAAUUAUCAAAUCUAUUUAUAAACUGAUGGUAUGUUCUAAUUUGCAGAUGUAAACAGUAAACAUCGGACAUGAAAUAGAAGCUAAACAAGCUAAUCCUAAAGUCUGAUACUUGUGAUCCUUGUCUUGAACCAUUUAUUAUUUAAUUCUUACUUCUAAUAGAGAGUUCAGCUACAAUGAUAGAAACUCAUUGUAAAUUGGAAAAAGCCGUUUAAUAAAAAUGGAACACAGAAAUUUAUCUACCAUUUUCUUGUUCUUCUCUCAAAGGAUCAUCAUGGGUGGAUCCAUGUGUAUUUGUGUAGGGUGUUUUUAUGUACAUCUUUUAAAGAUUAAAAUAUAAAAUUUUGAAAAAAAAAAAUUUCUCAGACCCUUCCCAAAAUUUUUUCUUUAAACAUCUUUUUCGUUGAUAGAAUUAGUAAAUUCAUCGGUAAUUAUAUAUAUAUAUAUAUAUAUAUUAUAAGUGGACAUCCUCGAAAAAAAAAUUAAAGAUCCGUCAUUAAAUAUCAUUGUCUAUUAGAGUAUAUGAAUAUCUAAUAUGAUAAUCCUUAUGCUAUGUUUGGUGUAUAGGAUCAUGAAUAGGAUAUGAUGAUAAUUAUUUUAUAUUAUAUUUUUUGUUUGUAUGUGAAAAAAAAAAAUAAGAAUAAGAUUACAAGGAGAGAAUUAUUUUUAAUUUGUAGGAAUCAAAUUUAUAUGUUCUAUUAUAUUUUUAAAAAUUAUAUCAAUAAUUAAAUUGUAAAAUUUUAAGAAAUGAUAAUUUGAUCAAUAAUAAAAUUAUUCAAUUAUAAUCUUUGCACACAUUAAAUAUUGAUAUUAUUUAAUCUAAUUCAUUUCAUAUCAUCUUAUCUUAUUUUAUCAUAAUUUUUACACCUAUAAUUAAAGGUAUAGGAUCAAGUUAAGUCUAGAAAGAUACAAGGGAGAGUUAGUCUAGGCAAUUUCAAAAAUACAAUGUAUACGUCGUACCAAUAAAAAAUUAGUAUAAGUUGUUAAGGUUUAAAAUCUGAAUAUAAAAUAUUUAAGAUGACUUGCCUUUCUCUACUCCUAAAUAUUUUAUUUACUAAAAAAAAAAAAACUUGUACGUCAUUUGUACUUCUAAAAAUGUCACAUGGACAUCAUUUAUCCAGAUUAAAUACCCACUUGUCCUAACUACGCUUAGGUGCAUUACACUUUGCAUGAGCCAUGAAGUAACGUAUAAGGUUGGAAGGUAUAUUCCAAGCAUUCUACUCUAAUUUCAAGUUUAACUAAUUACACUAAUUUUUUAUUUUUCACGUACUUAUUUGAGUGUCGGAGCAUGUUUCAAUUAUCCCUUUGAUCCUUAUUUUUUCCUUAAUAGGUCGGAUGUUUCCUCCAUUCAAGUCACAUGAUUGAUUUCACCUCGUUAAUCCAAAAAAUACCCUCUCUCUUCUAAGUGUAUUGCUCAAUGAAAUUUUAAUUUAUUAGCAAUAAAGACAAUUUGUCUUGCCAAGUCAAAUUUAAAUUUUAAAAUUAAAUAUGCAUGCAUGCAGUAGAAGAAAAAAAUUACUUUUUUCUUGAAAAUAAAUAGGAAAAAAUCUAUUAUAAUUGACGGUGUAUAUAUAUAAAAGGAAAGGUCCAUUUAAUUAGUGUAAAAGUUACACAUUUUUUAAUAUAAUUAAAUAUAAGUGUUAUAAAUUUAAUUUUAAUUUAUAAGUUUAAAAAAAUGUAACUCUUAUAUUAAUGUAAGUGAAUCCGGAGUAGGGAUCUAUUUAUAUUAAUGCGACUCUUACAUAUUUUUGGACUUUUGGAUCGAAGUUGCUAAUUUAAAAAUAUUAUUUUAAUUCAAAUGAGUUAUGAAUUUAAAUUAGUCCAAAAAUAAAAAAAUAUAUAAGAUAUACACUAAUGUAAAGUAUAUCCUAACUCUAUAUAUAAAUAAUUGGUUUUUAUUUUUAUUUUUUUGUUGAAAUUCUUUCUUCACUUUGUUGUCAUCGCACUUAUCGGCUUUAGUUUUUCUCUUUAUGAGUUUGAUCCAAUUAAUAAAUGAUUGGUUUAUGUAAUAAUUAUUUUAUACAUCGUUAGUUAUUCAAUAAUGCAAAUCUAAUCUCAUUAUAAAGGAAAUAAAAAAUUAUUGUAUUAUCUAUUUACUUGCAUUUUUUUAACAUUUUGAUUCAUAUAAUAAAAAAAAAAAUUUAUGUAUAGUUAUAUAUAUAUUACUCGACAAGUAAAAGGAAUUAAUAUACAUAGAUUAUCAAAUAUGUUUCUAUAAAAUAACUGAUUUUAUAUAUUUUUACAUAAAUAAAUUGUUUCAUUUAUACAUACUUCCCCAUCUCAUUUUUUUUGGAUUUCUGAAAAUUAUGUACACUUAAAUGCCUUAACUUUUUAUAUUUUAGAAUUAUUUUUAUGUUUUUUUUUUGUUUUGCUUUUUACCGAAAUUAUGAAACUUCAAGUUUAUAAAAAAAAUAAAAUUUAAUAUUGUAUAGACUAAAAUCAAAAUAUUUCCUUUAAACUCCAUAAAAAUCAAUAGAAGACUAAAAUUAUAGGACCGAAGAAGUAUACAGAUUUAUAUAUAUUUGAUGUAGGUUAGUAUAGAUAUUAGAUACUUUCAGUAAAUCAUAAAAUAACACUCAUAAAAAUGUUAAUUUUAAAUAUAUUUUUAAGAUUAAAUGUAUUAAUUUAUUUUUUAGAAUUUUAAAAUUCGUGUAUAUAUAAUUAUAUCAUUAACUGAUAAUGUAUAAUAUUUUUAUAUUGAUAAUGUAAUAAAUAUAAAUUCUAAACAUAUUGCUAACCUAGAGAUAUGUAUACUAAAAACAAAAAAUAGUAAUAUUUUGUAAGCUUCUUUUUCUUAAAAAAAAAAAAAAGAAGAAAGAAAACCAAGUAUAUCAUGGGGAAAUUUAUCUCGAUAUUAAAGUCGAAAAUCUCAAUGACAUGAAAGCUAACAAAAAAAAACAUAUACAUAUUUUGUAAGGAUUAUAUUUGAUAUCAUAUUAGUGUAUAGCGUUAUACGAUGUUAAUAUAUUUAAUUAGUAAAAAAUCUAAAUUUUAGAAACAUUAGAAGUAAAUUUUUUAAAAUUUAAAUAUUUAAUGAUAUUAAAACAAAAUAAUGAUGUAAUGGCUUAUGAAGCACUAAUAGUGUAUAGUAUUUAUACACUAAGAAUAUAUAAUAUAUAAAUACAUAUAUGAAAGGAAUUUAUAUUUGAUGGUUGUCAAUGUAUAAAUUUUAUAAAUUGUCAAUGAAUCAUAUGAUAUCUUAUCAUUAAUAAACAAUAUCAAUUUUUAAAAUAAAUAUAUUAAAAACUAAUAUUUUUUAAAAAUUUCUUCAUCAAUGAAGUAGUAUCAUUUUAUUCAUCUUAUAAAUGAAAUAUCAUUAUUUGAUUUACUUACGAUUAAAGAUUAUAUAAAACAGUUACUCCAAGUUAGUAUAUGUUUCUUUCAUUUAAAUCAUGUCAUGCACGUAACCACAUUAAUGAAAAGAGUCAAUCAUUUAUUAUACAUCACAAACAUAAAUAUGUUAAAAUAAAUAUUUAUCAUUUAAUUAUCACGUAUGAUAUAUAAUAAAUAAUUGAUUUUUUCUAAUAAUAUAAUUACAUGGCAUGAUUUGAAUAAAGAAAACAUACGCCAACGUGGAAUAUUUAUUGUUUCAUAGAACCCUUUCUCUUCACUGACAAUAGAAUUUAUACGAAUACUUAGUAUUAAAUAUCUAAUCCCAUUUGAAAGUUAUGUUUUGUCUAAAUUUAAAGGUGAUCCCUAGUCAAUCGCUUUGUCUCAAAAUUCUACCUUAUUCGCAGGAAAAAUCCGAUGAGCCAUUCAAUUUUAACGACCAUUUCUGUGCAAGAAUCCUAAUUUUAGACGCUUCCACUUGCUAUAAAACCUGCCAUGCAUUCUCAAUUCCAUCAAGCAACAAAGCAAAGACAUUGAGAAAGAGAAACUGUGUUUUCCAAUAAAGUUUCUCUUCCGUCCGACUCCCUUCAACUUGGUUGGGAAUCGGAUUGGUUUGGCUCUGUUUGCUCUAGCCAGCCACAGGGAGAAACCAUUUAUAAAAGAAAAACUAAAAAACAUUGGCUGAUAUGGCUAUGGGUAAUGUUGUUAUUUCGGGGAUUUCCAUCAUUCUUGUGGUGGGAGUCGUCCUCGGCGUUGUUGCUGCAGUUCAUCGUAGUGGCGAUGAUAAUUCCAAAUUGUCUCCACAAAUGAAGGCGGUGUCGAGUUUCUGUUCAUCAACAGAUUACCGAGGAACUUGCCAGAAGACCCUCAGCUCUGUCAACAGCACUGAUCCCAAAGAUUACGUUGCCCAAUCUAUCUUGGCCUCUGAGGAAGCAGUCAAGAAGUUCUUCAACUAUUCUGAUUCCCUUGAUCGUUUUGGCCAAGAACGAUAGCCGCACGAAGAUGGCAUUGGAUGAUUGUAAGGAGAUGAUGGACUAUGCCGUUCAGUCCCUUCAAGCAUCGUUCUCCGAGGUGGGUGAUAGUGAAUUGAGAAGCCUUAAUGAGCGAACAGCCGAUCUCAGGACCUGGUUGAGUGCUGUUAUCUCAUACCAACAGUCAUGCUUGGAUGGUUUCGAACAUGACAGCAACAUGAAACAAAACAUGGAAACUGGUAUUGUUGAUGCUAGUGAACUCACAUCAAAUGCCUUGGCAAUUGUGACAAAGUUGUCGGAUACUCUUUCUAAGUUCGGUCUCCAGUUGAAUAUUCCUACCUCCCGUAGACUUCUUUCUGUUGAGAACAAUGGCUAUCCCUCAUGGUUCUCUGCUGCAGACCGCAAGCUUUUGGCUAGGAUUGAUAACCGUAACUUGAGACCAAAUGCUGUUGUGGCUAAAGAUGGCAGUGGCCAGUUCAAGACCAUUGCUGCUGCCCUUGCUGCGGCUCCCAAGAACUCCAGGGUCCGACAUGUGAUCUAUGUCAAGGCUGGAAUCUAUGACGAGUACAUCACCGUGGACAAAGACACCACCAAUAUCCUCAUGUACGGUGAUGGCCCAAGAAGGACCAUUGUAACAGGCCACAAGAACUUCGUUGAUGGCACAUCCACCUGGCAAACUUCUACUUUCUGUAAGUUUCUAAGAACUCAGAGCCGUUAGUUGAUCAUAAAUCAUGAUUCUGCCAAAUAAAUUUGUUUUAUAUAUAAUUUCUGCUAGAAUGGUAUUAUCACACGUAUGUUAAAUAUUGGAUUUCUUGUCCUUUUAUAUUCAAGUUGAGUAUCUCUUGCUAUUGCCAAUUGGUUUUAGAUCGGGCACUUAACAAUUUGCUGAUUUUAAUGGUGCAGCCGCUAUUGGAAAUGGGUUCAUUGCCAAAUCCAUGGGAUUCCAGAACACUGCUGGACCACAAAAGCACCAGGCUGUGGCUCUUCGCAUUCAGUCCGAUAAGUCAGCCUUCUUCAACUGCAGGAUGGAUGGCUACCAAGACACCUUGUACAAUCAAGCAAACCGUCAGUUCUUCCGCAACUGUGUCAUCUCUGGAACCAUUGACUUCAUCUUCGGUGAUUCUCCUACCCUUAUCCAGAACUCAUUGAUCAUUGUCAGGAGGCCAUUGGAUAACCAACAGAACACAGUGACUGCACAAGGCAAGACCAAUGCUAAUGAGAACACUGGUAUCGUGAUCCAAAACUGCAGGAUUGUUCCCGAGCAAAAGCUCUUCGCUGACAGGUUCAGGUUGCCAACAUACUUGGGCAGGCCAUGGAAACAAUUCUCUACAACUGUUAUCAUGGAAUCCACCUUGGGAGACUUCAUUAAUCCAGAGGGAUGGUUGCCAUGGGCUGGAAGCAAUUUCCUCAACACCCUCUACUACGCUGAGUACAACAACCGUGGCCCUGGUGCCAACACCGCCAGGAGGGUUAACUGGAAGGGUUACCACAGGAUCGACAGGAAAACCGCCAUGAGCUUCACCGUUCAAUCAUUCCUUUUGGCUCGUGAAAACUGGUUGCCCUUCACUGGCAUUCCUUUCACUGCCGGGUUGAAAUAUUGAAGACAUUUUAAUGGCGAAAAUCAACAGCACAACAACCUACAAAGAAAAGAACCUUACAGUGGUCUCUUAGAAAUAGGAAAUGGAGGCGCAGCUUAUCUCAUUACAUAAUUUUCUUUUUGUAAAUUUCUGUUUAGAGAUCCCUUUCAGGGCUCUUAAGUCCAUGUCUUUGUCUUUGUUGCUCUAUUGUAAUUCAUUCAUGGAUAAAAAUAAAAAACUCAUUCGCAUAAUAUAUAUUCCAUAAUAUUAUAAACAUACAUGCAUACAUACAUACAUAUAUAUAUUAAUACUAUCUAUAUUUUCUUCUGAUCAUAUCAAUGGCGGACCAUCAUUGGAGCCUGUGGUGAAAUUUUAACGUCCAAAAAUUGGGUAGUGAAAUGUUUGUAAAAAGAGUUUUUUUUCCUCCAUUGAUGAUCAUGUUGUAUCUUUUCUUGUUAAUCCAAGAUUUGAAAGUUAAAAAAAAAAAAAAAAAAGGAGUUACAUCCAAUUGUAUAAAAACACUAUAUGCAAAAAUUAUAUAGUGGCGUAUUAUAUAACCAUGUUAGAUUCUUUUCAUUGUUGGUUUAAUUUUAAUUACUUUAAAAUUGCAUGUAAUGUUGUAAUUUUUACAAGAUAGUGCUAUGAAUGACCUUGUAAAUUAUAAUAAAAUAUUUAAAUGAUACUUAAAUUUAAAAAAUUCUAAUAUAUUACAUAAAUUAUAAAUUUAUUAAUUAAUAUGUAUUUGUUGGAGGGUUAUUUAUUCAUCAUGUAUUAUCAUUUGUGGCUAACUAUGUUAGAGAUAAAUACUCUAUUGGUCAAUAAGUUCAUAAUUUAGAUAUAAAAAUUUUUAAAAUUUAAAUAUCACACUAAAUAUUUCAUUAUAAUUUAAAAAUCAUUCAUAACAUUAUAAAAAAUGUCAAUGUCUAAGGAAAUUUACAAGCGUUAAGAGUUGAAUCUCAAUUUUAUAAAAUUUAAUUUUUUUUAAAAAAUUAGAUGAACCAUUUAGACCAAAUUCAAGUUCUCUUAAUCUAACAAUAUUUAGAAUCCGAUACUAAAAUAGAGUUUGACAAACUUGACCGUAAAAUUGGUGUACCUCCAUCUUGAAUUCAAGUAGAGUACUGUGCUGAAUCCAUAUGCUGGACUGAUGAAGAUAACAAGUACUACAGUCUUUCUUUCUUAAGGCUUCUUUACCUCUCUUCUACCAAAAAUUUUCCCCUUCAUGAAACCGUCUAGCUCAUAUUUAUGAUUAAUGAAUCCUAAUCCAUUAGGUUCGUUACAAAUUCAUUGCAAAAGAGGAACUAAAUUAGAAUAAAUAUACAUCAGAAUUUGUUGACUCUGAAACCAAAUAUAUUGCUUGGAGUGUUUUUCAAAAUUCAACUUAUUAGGGUCUCAGCUGAUUAAACAAUGAGAGUAAUUUUUAUAAAAUUAAAAACAAAUGUCAAGAUAAAAUUAAUUAUUAUAAUGAUUAGAUCAAAAGUAAUAAUAAAAUAAGCGUUUAGACGCUAAAACAAUGAUAUGAUUAGAUGAAAAUAAAAAAUAAUUAUUGAGGAUUUAAUUUAAGAGUGUGUUGAUAAAUUAUUUUUAUGCAUACUUUAAUGUUAUCUAUAGCAUGUAAAAUUUUAAAAAUUUUAUUUUCAAUCAAAAUAUUAAUAUAUAUUAUUUAUUUAUUCAUUUAUUAUAUGUUAAUAAAAAUGAUUUAUUUAUUAAUUUAUUAUAUAAUAAAAAUAUUUAUUAUAUUAAAUAAAAAAAUUUAUUUCAAUAUUUUUAAAUAAAAAAUUAAAAUGAAAAAACAAAAAAUCCUUAUAAUUUUAAGGAAAAAAUGAAAAAAAAAAAACAUAAGGGUAAAUUUGAAAAAAUAAUGCUAUGGGAGCAAAUUACUUUCUAUAAAGCUAAAAGUUCUGCUGAUUAAGUGGCACUAAUUGUGCCACAAUGGUGAUAUCCAAACACUAAAAUGUUGUUUUGAACCUUAUAAAAGUGAUCAAAUCUCACCGCACUUAUGUUUUGGUCGAAUCCAAAUGAUCCUUUAGGUUUAUGUGCGGUGUGGUGGAAUUGUAGAGAUAUUGGUGCAAUUAAGUCUCCUACAAUCUUAUAAUUUGCUGAUUUGGACCAAAGAGAUAUUGGCACGUAGACAUGAAAUCCAAGUUACUCUCAACGAAUAACGUUAACGGCAAAAAAUAGAUCGUUUCUUUGGUAGUUUCUCUUAAAUGAAAAUUUUUUUUUGUCUGUCGAAAUUGUAUCUUUUAAUUUUUCCCUUUCUUAAAAGAUCAAAAUCCUCCUAUAGCUAAAACAAUUGAAGACAAUAGCAAUCAAAUACUUUCAAAAAUCAAGGUUUUGAUAGGAUUAAAGCUUUUUCCUUUUAAUUAGCAAGUUUGCCUUUCCAAAAAUCAUUCAACCCAUCAGCCAUCUCCGUGAAAUUUUUGGUUUUUUUAUUCAAUUGACAAGUCUUCAAGGUAAACUUUAUUCAUCAACAAGGAAUUCUUGCACCUCCAUUGUUGUCUUUAAUAUGUUUGAUAAAUUAUCACAAUUUUAAACAUUCAAUUUUCUCAUUUAAUUUUUAAUUUCUUAACGAAUGGUUUAUGAUAUGAUCCAUUUAAGCAUCCUCUUGAGUUCAAAGAUACGUGAUUUCUUGAAGGAUAACUAUUUAAAAUAACUAUGUGUCGGUGUCAAAAGUAGUUUUCUUACUACCUUUUUAACUUGUUUUAUUUGUAAAUGCUUUCAGAAAAGAAAAUAUCAGGCUUGUCCAAUAAGUAGCAUAGGUGCAGAAAAGCUAUAUCAACAGGAGAUAAUCUCUUUGGUUCCAAGUGUAAGAUCUAUUGUAUUGUAGGCAUACCUUUUCAAGUUAUUAGGCGCAUGUUUCUUAACAUUUAAUCUUUCUUUAGUUUGCUUUGCAUGCAUGAAUUAAUUAAUAAAGUUUGAUUUAACUAAUUAGCUUAGAUUCACUAGCAAGAAAAACUGCUUUUGGAUUUGAAAUUGAUGCAGUUGAAGAAUUUGAUGCUGAAAAUGAUGAUAGUUAUGCUACUGGUUAGUUCACACCAAAUAAUAAUGACAGAAUCUUUUUAGGCCAAACUUACAAGUUUGCUUUCGGUAUGCCAUAAAUUCUUGGAGUCUAUACUAAAAUGAAGCUAUAUAUUAAUAUUCAUCACAUACAUUAUUAAUAGUUGUAGUUCCUUGAUAAUUGAUGUGCUAUCAAAUAGCUUUACACUUUCAAUUAGUUAAGGCUAAUUACAAUUAUAUUACAAAUCAUGACAAAUUAUCAUUAGAACAUGGCUAAUAGGAAUUUCAUAUAUGUGGAAAUAUGUUGCUAUGAUGCUCAAUUGUUAGAAUGAAGGUGGCUAUACAAUGUGCCAGAAUCAACUCAGAGGUCAUUUUAAAGAUAUUUCAGUAUGACAUAUUUAACUAUUUUUGAAGUAGGAUUUAAGUUUAUAAGACUUAUUUCUUUCCACUAACAAAUGGUCUAUUUGAUUCUUGAUGUGCCUAAAGCUAAGCCAACCCUUGAACUUGAUGACCAAUCAUUAUAUAAAGUAUAAUGCUAAAGCAAAAGAGAUAUAGGAAAAUGAAAGCAUGAUUGUUACAUAGCCAUUUGACAUUUUAACUAUUGGAAAGCAUCUUAAUUGCAGUGGACUAAAGGUAAAAUUUAAAGUAAUGUGAUUUUAGUUAUUGAAUCUUUUUUGCUGGAUUUUGAGAUUUCAAUAAAUUUAACAGUAAGUUAAGAUACUUGCUGUAGAUUUGGUGACAAAAAAAAAUGUACCGAAGAAUAAAAGAGUUCCAAUGACGACUUUUACCUAUUUUUUGCAAGUGCUUUGAGUGCAACUUAACUACUAUUUUGCAUCUUGGAAACAUUGAAUUUUCUCUUGAAAGAGAGCAUGAUUCUUAAGUCUCACCUCAAUCAAAAGGAAUUUUAUUUGAUUUGUUACUUAAGUCUACUGAAACUCAUAUUCAUUAUUUGUUGGCUUGAAUGUCUUAUUUUUGUAAAAUGACAAAGAAAACUAGUAAUUUUUUUUUGAGAAAGCUAAAUUUUAUAAUUUGUAGGAGUAAUUCAAAAGACAAGAAAGCAUUUCCUUGAAUGUAAUUAUAUAGAUUUAAUUACGUUUGCUCAUCCUUAUUAUCUUAUUCUUCAUAUAUUCUAAUUCUUAAUUUAUUUAUCUAAUUAAGCAUAAAUCAAUCAAUUUUCUAACUUUAAUUAGCCACAUAUUGGUGAUCUUUUUAAGGAUCGUGCAACCAUACAAAUUUGAACUAUUGUUAGUUAAACUUGUGUAUUUAUGAUUUCUUUGUUUACUACAUGUCACAUUUCAAAUUUUGUUUUGGUCACCAUAAGUUUUGCCAAUAAAAUUGGUAAUUUAGUUAAAUUGAUACUAACUUAAUAAUUAAAUAUAUUUUGGUAGAAAACAAAAACAAUAACGCUAAAAUUUAAGGUGACAAGUUUCCAAUAGAUAUAUCAACAAUAACAUUUUGUCUAAAAAGAAAAAAAAAUUGAAUUCAUGGGAUUUCAUCUAAAGUAAACUUUAAAUUGAUAUAACUAAAUUCAUAGACAUCAUUUUUUUUUCCAAACUCUUGACAACUUAAUUUUUAGUGACAACAUUUUAUAACUUUAGUAUUUUUAAGAUGUCAUUCCCACCAGCUGUUAAAUGUUAGUUUCAAAAUGUCAUCUUUAUUACUUAUUGAAUGUUACCUGAACUAUUAUAGAAAAUAUCAGAAAGAAACAUUUGUUUGAAGGAAGCUUUUUAAGUUCAACAUGUAGACCUUACAGGUUGUAUAAUGAAAUUCAAUUUAUGAGACUCAGGAAUAUAACACAAAAGAAAUAAGGAUUUAACCUUAUUUAAAGAUAACAUGUAGAUUUACUUAACCUAUACAUGUAAAUUGAAAUUUUCUAAAGAAAUCAUAUUUGAUUAAACCUUCUAAUGACUUGAAUUUAUAGGUUGGAUGAAGUUGCUUUGUCUUAUGUAGUAAAAUGACAUACCAAAGAAAAUGUAUGACUUAUGUUUAGAGCAAAAGAUGGUCAAGUCUACCUUGCAUUUGAGUUCUAUUCGUUAAAAUAAACAUAGGAGAAAAAUAAAAGAAAAAUUUAAGCUAUUGAAUCCAAUAUAAACAUGUAAACUUAUUGGACUUAUUAUAAAAAAUGAUCAAAUGCUAACCUGAUUAAUGAAAACAACAUUCUGAUUAAAAGGUUGAGUGCUUGGACCUUUUCAUUUUUUUGACUGAGUUUCAAAACAACUAUUAAAUUUGCGCUUACCACCAGUUUUAUCACUUUUCAUUUUUAAUCCUUGUACAUUCAUGAUUUUUAAAUCAUCUAUAACAUUAAAUUUUUUAGCAUCAUCUUCAUCACCUUUUGUGUAAGAAUCAUCAAAGUUGCUCACUGUUAAACUUUUAAAACCCAUUCAACUAGUUUUACCUAUUGAAAUCUUUUCUAUCUUAAGCAUUACCUUUAAAGAUUCUAUUAAAAGCAAUGUACCAUUCCUUUGUUUUAACAGUCCAUGUUGACAACUUAAUUGCAUUCCUACUUAAUUCUUUAUAGCUAACUUAGGAUCUUUUUUUUUUUUAGUGCUUCUAUUGAUGUCUCUUACACUUCCAAGCUUUACAGCUUUCGUCCAUCUCUUUACAAUAUAUUUCUCAGAUACAAACUUGAUAUUUUUUGAGUUUAGCAGCUUUAAGAUAUGAUAACAGAGAAUUCUCUAAAAUUCGAAUUUCAUACAAGUACAAAAAAUUGAAUUAGUUGAAGAGUUAGUUGAAAAUUCUUUUGCUAGAGAAAUAGUUUUACUUUACCUUGUAUCAUUCUUAUAUAAAUUAUGCCAUUUUUUGUAAAUCUCUUCCGAUGGUAUCCUUGAAGUUACUGCAACAUGGUUGGUUCCGGAGAAAGUCUAAUUCAAGGAAAUCAGACUCUUAAUAGUUUUGUUCUUUGGUUUUGUAUACAAUUGAGCUAGCUGAUAACAAAUAUUCUAUUUGGAGCACUCAGGUUUUGUGAUUUCACAAUUUGGUUUGAUUGAGAACAACUGAAUGAAAUGUAUACUGGUAAGUAAAUUUUGUGUUGGUGCCUAGUUUAUAAGCCACAUUAAAGCAUUGGUGAGCAAUAAUUUUGCUUUAAAAAGUGGUGUGAAAUAUAAAUGUUAAACGGAGAGGUUUGGCGAUUGUAUAUUCGGUUUGGUAUAAAAUUAAUUAAAAUUUGGUAUAUUUUUUUUAUCAUUUUUUUUACAUAAUAAUUACGUAUCAAUUAAUUUAUGUCGACAUUAAAAAUUAAAUAUAUUUUUUAAUUAUGUUAAAUUUCAUAUGUAAUUAUUGAUAAAUUUUAAGUCGUUUUAUUUUUAUGUUUUAUUUUCGAUUCAUAUUAUAUUAUUCAUUAUAUCGAACCUUAAAUUUGUUUAAAUCUAAUUCAAUUUGUAUAAUGAUUUCACCAAUAAAUCCUUUGUUAGGUUUUAGGUGACAAGAAAUUGUUGUUUUUUUUAUUUGCUGUUCGAAUUCCAAAUCGUCUUGGGAAAAAUGAUUAUUUUUUCCAUUGGAAUUCAUAAAUAGGAAUGAAAUCGCAAUUUGGAUUUGUGAUUCUUAACCAAAACUGGAGUUUGAGUGGAAAACAAAGAUUUUCACAUGUUUUAUAAACUAUUAUAAUCCAAAUCACGAUUUUGCAACACAAUUCAACUAGAAAAGGAGAAUAAAAAAGCAGAAAUAACCUUUUUUGUAAUUGUGUAUUGUAUUUCCUUUAGUACAAUUAAACAUUCUAGCGUCAACUGCUAUCCCACCAGUGCAAAAGAAAAAUAAGAAUACCAAUAUAUUUGCAAUUGGUUGGUUCGGUCUUUAAAGAUCGAUCUUUUAAAAAAUAUAAUAAAAAUCGAUUGAUUUAUUUUUAAAAAUAAAAAAUAAUUGAAUUGACAAAAGGUGAUCGAAAAAUCAAAAUUUGAAUAAAUUUUUGUCAUUAAUUUUUAAUAAUUUGUAAUAAUUUUUAUCAAAUAAAAUUUACUCUAUAAUUUUAUCAUUAAUAUUAUAUUUGUUAUUUUUAUAAAUAUAAAUUAUUUUAUCUAUAUUUAUAUUAUAUGUAAUAUAAUUUAAAAACUAUCUUUAAAAAUCAAUUAAUUUGAUUGAUUUAAUUAUUAAUUUAAAAAUAAUAACCGGUCAAAUAAAUUCAUUAAAUAAUUUUAUUUAAUAAUAAUUUUUAAAACUAAAUGGAUCAAAACAAUCGAUCGAAUUUAAUUGAUUUUGAUUAAUCAAAUCAAUCAAAAUCGAUUUAUACUCACUUUUAUUUAUUGGUAUAGUAGAAUCAAAAUUAGAACCAUUUAGUCUCUUUGGAUUGAGUCAGUAUAUUGAAUUAGAUGUGAUAAUUUAAAAUAUAAUAUGAUUAUAUAAUAUAAAUAUGAUUCAAAUAAAAAAUUAAAAUUAAUACAAUUAAAAUUUUAAUAAUAAUUAUAUAUAAAUUUAAUAAAAUUUUAAAAAUAUAUUUUAUAUUUUUAUAUUUACACGUAAAUUAUGAUUCAUAAUUUUAUAUAAAAUAUGAUAUAAAUUUAUAAAUUUAAUGUAUAUAUAUAUAUAUAUUAUAUAUAUAAACCACACACCGAAUCGUUCGUGUCUACAGUAAAGGACCCAAGGUUCAUGGUCUACAGUUAAACCAGAAAUUCACUAGUUACUGAGUUGGGUCCGGGCCCUGAGGUUAGUAACGGACUACUGUUUUUCCCACUUAAACGGGGUCAUCCAUUUCCCAAAAUAAGCCAAAAAGCAAAUUUCAUGCUUUACCAAAAUCCAGCGUUUUUAACAUUCUGUAUAUUUCUUUACUUCCCCUCACUGUGUCAAGAGAAUCUAACGCAACCAAAGAAUCUACCACUAUUUCAUUUCUCUGUAAGGACUUCAUAUCUCCCACAUGCUUUCGCUUUUAUUUACUUUCGCAGUUUUCAUUUAUUAUUUUCGUAAGUUUUAUAUGAUAUUUUUGUUCUAAUUCUAGACUCUGACAACAUUAAGCAUUUCUAGUUUUCUUGGGUGUUUUAUGGUUACCCAUCUGAACCUUGAUCUGAAUGGCCACGGUGUCCUACAGGUGUUUCUGUUUUUUAAUAAAGUAAAAGGGUCGUCGGACAGUCCAGGAAAAAUCACUUUUAGUUUUGUCUUUGAUCUCAAAGUUGGUAAAGGCGGUAAAUGUAGACCUGGCAAUUCGUGUAUCAUUGUCAUAUAUGUUUCAUUUCGUGUCAAACAUAUGUAAAAUAUGAAAAUUAUCGUAUCCAUGUCUGACAUGCCAAACUCAUAUAUGGUUUUUAUCGAAAUUUUAGACCGAGUUAUAUCGUUUAAGUGUCAUAUCAUUAUAUCUUGUCAAAAUUACUAAGUUUAGGUAACUGUUAACGGUAAUUGCUUGUUCACCAAUCAACAUGGUUGUUCUCCAAGAAUUUUUUUAGAAUGUUCAGGACCCAUCAUAAGUAGGCUUGAACAGAUACUGAAGUCAUUAGGUUGAUAAACUAUAUUAAUAUGUGUAAUUAGUAGGGUAGGGGGUUUAUUUUGCCUUAAUGGGGAUAUUAAUGUUUAAACUGAUAGGUAUGUACUGUUUCUAAUUGUUCUAAUUAAAUGCUUUAUUUUGUUUGUACUCGAAGUUGAUGAUAUGGCUGGAGUGGAGCAGAGGCAGAACAAGUCUGGAGGUGGUAAGUAUUUUUUUUGCUCAGGUUGGUUAGAUUUCAUUAGUAAUGUGCCAUAAAGGUGUGGCGGUUUCUAAUUGUGUGGAUGUUUUGUUGUUGUUGUUGAUUUUUAGGAGGGAAAAAGAAGGAAGUGAAGAAGGAGACUGGUUUGGGUCUCUCCUUUACCAAGGAUGAGAAUUUCGGGGAGUGGUACUCUGAGGUGCAAUGACUUAGUGCCUGUUAUACUAUGUUAUUGAGAUCUUAGUAUCUUAUUGUUAUAUCAUCAUCUUGGCUUUUGUAGGCUGUUGUCAAUGGUGAAAUGAUUGAGUACUAUGACAUUUCUGGCUGUUAUAUUCUGAGGCCAUGGGCAAUUUCAAUUUGGGAGAUCAUGCAAGUGAGUCAUAUGAUGUUUAUACUCAUAUUGCUCUUUAAAUGUAAAUAAGAAGUGUUUAUUAAUUACAAGGAAAAAAAAUUUAUGGAUUUCAUUCCUCGAUCUUUGUUUUCUUUCUGUUUCCUUUCAUGGUUAACUUAUCCACGGUGUUAAACUGUAGACAUUCUUUGAUGCUGAAAUCAAGAAAAUGAAAAUCAAGAACUGCUAUUUCCCUCUCUUUGUAUCUCCAGGCGUUUUGCAAAAGGAGAAGGAUCAUAUUGAGGGUUUUGCUCCAGAGGUGAGAAACAAUUUUUUUUUUUUGGCAUAAUUGACCUUGUGGAAUGCUUUGCAGCUUGAAAGUGUUGGUUUCUUUUUUUAUCAAACUUUUUGAACCCUUUUGAAACUCAUUUUGUUCCUAAACUUUUUUGCCCUGUUUUCAAUGAUUUACUUCAUUUUGUGGAAAUCCAUAGUUUAGUUUCUAUCUAGGGCUCAAAUUGGAGAAAGUUUUUUAUCUAGGGCUCAAAUUUGGCAAGUUCUUCCUCAUUUGAGCAAGAUACUUUCAUGAAUAUGCUGAAAAAAUGGCAAUAUUUCAAUGUUUUUAUACUUUUUAGCACUGGACUUAUGCAACACUUAAGUUUUAUGCAUUUUUUUACUAGAAAUGUUAUGUGAUCUAAUGAAAAAAUGACAUGUGAAUGGCUUUGGGAUCCUGGUUUAAUCAGGUUGCUUGGGUGACCAAAUCUGGGGAGUCUGAGUUAGAGGUGCCAAUUGCAAUCCGCCCAACUAGUGAGACAGUUAUGUAUCCCUAUUAUUCUAAGUGGAUUAGAGGACACCGUGACUUGCCUUUGAAACUUAACCAGUGGUGCAAUGUCGUUCGAUGGGAAUUUAGCAAUCCCACACCAUUUAUCAGGUAGUUGUCUUAAAAUUGGUCAACUUUAGCUUUUCCGGUGUUAUCCUGCAUCCUUUUCCCCCCCUCUCCUUCCACCCGGUGGAUGGGAUAUGGUAUGCCAUACAUGUAAUGAGAUGUUAAUUUUCGUAAAAUUUUCUAAUCUUGGUUCAAUUUUCUUAUCCUUAGUUAUUAAUGUUUACAGAUGAGAACAUUAUUUUCUCAAUUCUUUUGAUGCCAAGUUAGAAAAUUAAUUUAAAAUGAUUUGAUGAUAGAUUGGUCACCACUAACUUGCUUCUUAAUUGUAGGAGUCGUGAAUUUCUAUGGCAGGAAGGGCAUACUGCCUUUGCAACAAAGGAAGAGGCAGACACAGAGGUAGCAUAGACUUAAAUUUUUACCUUUGAUCAACAUUUCAACCUUAGAGAGCUGAAGUUUGCCCAUUGUUCUAUUGGUGUACAAUGGAAUAGGGAAGGUUAAAGUAAAUAGAAAUUUUGCAUGGCUGAUCCUUUUCUUUUUCAUAUUUAUCUACAAUUAAAUUUUGGUUGAAAAUGGCAUUUUUGCCUCAGAAUUGCCGAAUGAAGGAUUUAAGUAAGCAUUUCAGAAAUUUCCCAUGUGAUCUUAUUUUGAAUAAUUUCAAUAUUUUGUUGGUUUCUGUGCUGUGUCAAAAGUCAAAGUCAUAUUUCAUUGCUGUUACAGAUUUCACUUGUCUUGCCUUUUGAAGUAUCAUUGAAGGAUGUGCUAGAUCCUUAGAACCUUUUAUGUGUGUCUAAAUAUGGUUUUGUUGGUGAAUAUAUUAUGGAAGGGGGACUGAGGUGGCAAAAAUGACAUGCUGAGUUAUAUGUAUUUAUUGUUGAAAUACUUUGUGCUUGGUAGAUUUUAGACUUUAGUUCCUACUUCUAAUCACUCUUGCAAUAGUUGUACUGCUUCUCAUUUUCACAUCCUUUGCGAUAUCUCAUGCUGUUAACUAAACAGGCAAAAGAUGGACUUAGUAGCCAAUAACAAUGGUAGGGAUGUCAGCUGGGUCUCUUUACGUAUGUCUAAAUUUUGUUAUAUUUCAGGUUCUUCAAAUAUUGGAACUGUACCGAUGUAUAUAUGAAGAAUUCUUGGCUAUUCCUGUUACAAAAGGCAGGAAGAGUGAACUAGAGAAGUUUGCUGGUGGACUUUACACAACUAGUGUCGAGGUAUGGUAUAAACUAUUAUGCAUAUAUACAUGUAAUAACAAUCUCUACUUAUUGGCGUGAACAACGAACUUAAAUUGUCUGCUUGAUCAAUGUGCUUUAAUAUAAAUUGAGGAACUUUUAAUCUGUUCAUAAUAUGAUAGGCAUUUAUUCCAAACACUGGGCGUGGUAUUCAAGGUGCAACCUCCCAUUGUCUGGGCCAAAACUUUGCAAAAAUGUUUGAGAUAAACUUUGAAAAUGAAAAGGGAGAGAAGGGUAUGGUCUGGCAGAAUUCCUGGGCGUAUAGUACUCGAACGGUAAAACUUUUUGUCUCUUUACUUAGAACAUUCUUAGCAUUUAUCGUUUCAAGUCCUUUGUCAUGCUAUCCCUACCAUUUAUGUUUUGUGGUUUUGGGUGAUUACAUGGGGUUGGAAUCCUUAACUACCAUAUAAUUCCCUUUCUAUUCUUUUCUCCUUAUUCCUGCUACUCUGCUUAUGUUUUCUACUGUUUUUCAAAUUUUCUCAGAUUGGGGUAAUGGUUAUGGUUCAUGGGGAUGACAAAGGUUUAGUGCUGCCUCCAAAAGUAGCAGCUUUGCAACUUAUUGUGAUUCCUGUGCCUUACAAAGAUGCAGAUACUCAAGGUAUUUUUGAUGCUUGUGUUGCCACUGUGGCAACCCUCUCAGAUGCUGGCAUUCGCGCUGAAGCUGAUCUUAGAGAUAACUACUCACCUGCUUGGAAGUAUUCGAACUGGGAAAUGAAAGGUGUUCCCCUAAGGAUUGAAAUAGGACCUAGAGACUUAGCAAAUAAUCAGGUGAACCCCCCCUUUUUUUUGGAUGCUGC
RNAcentral lists this long non-coding RNA (23505 nucleotides) under Durio zibethinus. RNAcentral's name for it is "long non-coding RNA (DZIB_LNC001960)". Lineage: Eukaryota; Viridiplantae; Streptophyta; Magnoliopsida; Malvales; Malvaceae. The record is from RNAcentral.